AGCGAACGCUGGCGGCAGGCUUAACACAUGCAAGUCGAACGAGAUCUUCGGAUCUAGUGGCAGACGGGUGAGGAACACGUGGGAACAUCCCUUUCAGUUCGGAAUAACGUUGGGAAACUAACGCUAAUACCGGAUACGUCCUUCGGGAGAAAGAUUUAUCGCUGAGAGAUUGGCCCGCGUCUGAUUAGCUAGUUGGUGAGGUAACGGCUCACCAAGGCUACGAUCAGUAGCUGAUCUGAGAGGAUGAUCAGCCACAUUGGGACUGAGACACGGCCGAAAAUCCUGCGGGAGGCAGCAGUGGGGAAUAGUGGACAAUGGGCGCAAGCCUGAUCCAGCCAUGCGGCGUGAGUGAUGAAGGCCUUCGGGUUGUAAAGCUCUUUCGCACGCGACGAUGAUGACGGUAGCGUGAGAAGAAGCCCCGGCUAACUUCGUGCCAGCCGCCGCCGCAG
RNAcentral lists this ribosomal RNA (449 nucleotides) under uncultured bacterium. RNAcentral describes it as "partial 16S ribosomal RNA". It matches the Rfam family "Bacterial small subunit ribosomal RNA", at positions 29 to 523 of the family's 1533-position model. The record is from RNAcentral.